Molecule: ribosomal RNA, 253 nt
Filed under: uncultured bacterium
Lineage: Bacteria
Description: partial 16S ribosomal RNA
Rfam family: Bacterial small subunit ribosomal RNA
Source: RNAcentral
UACAGAGGGGGCAAGCGUUGUUCGGAAUUACUGGGCGUAAAGGGCGCGUAGGCGGCCUGUUAAGUCGAACGUGAAAUCCCCGGGCUCAACCCGGGAACUGCGUCCGAUACUGGCAGGCUUGAAUCCGGGAGAGGGAUGCGGAAUUCCAGGUGUAGCGGUGAAAUGCGUAGAUAUCUGGAGGAACACCGGUGGCGAAGGCGGCAUCCUGGACCGGUAUUGACGCUGAGGAGCGAAAGCGUGGGGAGCAAACAGG